Molecule: long non-coding RNA, 531 nt
Organism: Asparagus officinalis (garden asparagus)
Lineage: Eukaryota; Viridiplantae; Streptophyta; Magnoliopsida; Asparagales; Asparagaceae
Exons: 3
Source: RefSeq, a predicted model, not a curated record
UGCAGAAUGACAUUCGUAAAAAUCCUACUUUUAGAUCACAGUUUCACGAGAUGUGUGCUAAAGUUGGAGUGGAUCCUCUAGCUACUGGGGAUUGGUGAUUUCUAUUAUGAACUAGCGCCUCAAUGAUUGUCCGUCGUUGAAUGAGAUUCUUCCCGAGUCGAUAUUCAUAGCUAUCUUUAAGUUGGCGUUUGACGAGCAUGAAGUUCAUGGUGGUGGAGAGGUUAGAGGAGGUACUCCCGUAGGGAGCAGCAGUACGAUAAGACGUUCUAAUGCAGACGACGUUGAUAACAAGGAUGCCAACAACGACGAUGACGGGGAGUGAGUGAGACUUGUUCUUAUAUUUAUGUAGUUUUCAAUUGUGUGAAGACAUAUUAUGACUUUUGAAUUUUACCUAUAUGUAAUAUAUUUGUGAUUUUAUUGCGUAGUGAAUGAAUAUUAUUUGAGCAUGCGAGAUGUAUUGUGAUUGUGAUUAUAUGAUGAGUAUUGUUCGAUAUUGUGGAUUGACGGAUGAAAUUGGAUGAGUAUUCAUUU